This 708-nucleotide ribosomal RNA is filed under the name uncultured archaeon. RNAcentral's name for it is "bacterial SSU rRNA". It matches the Rfam family "Archaeal small subunit ribosomal RNA", at positions 325 to 1037 of the family's 1478-position model. The record is from RNAcentral.
ACGGGGCGCAGCAGGCGCGAAACCUUUGCAAUGCACGCAAGUGCGACAAGGGAACUCCAAGUGCCCCCUUUUGGGGGCUUUUGUUUACUCUAAAUCGGUAGACGAAUAAAGACUGGGUAAGACCCGUGCCAGCCGCCGCGGUAAUACGGGCAGUCCUAGUGGUAUCCACGAAUACUGGGCUUAAAGCGUUCGUAGCCGGACUUAUCAGUCUUUGGUGAAAGCUUGUGACUUAAUCAUGAGAGUUGCCAGGGAAACAGUAAGUCUUGGAGUCGGGAUGGGUCAGAGGUAUUCCUUGGGUAGGAGUAAAAUCCUGUAAUCCUUGGAGGACCAACAGUGGCGAAGGCGUCUGACUUGAACGAGCUCGACGGUGAGGAACGAAAGCUAGGGGAGCGACCCGGAUUAGAUACCCGGUUAGUCCUAGCCGUAAAUGAUGCAGGCUUUGUGUCGCAUUCCGUACGUCGGAAUGCGGUGCCGAAGGGAAACCGUUAAGCUUGCCGCCUGGGAAGUACGGCCGCAAGGCUGAAACUUAAAGGAAUUGGCGGGGGAGUACUACAAGGGGUGGAGGCUGCGGUUCAAUUGGAUAAUACGCCAGACAACUCACCAGAAUUGACAGCAGAAUGAUGGUCACUCUAAUGGGGUUACCUGACGCGCUGAAAGGUGGUGCAUGGCCAUCGCCAGCUCGUGCUGUGAAGUGUCCUGUUAAGUCAG